AACGAACGCUGGCGGCAUGCCUAACACAUGCAAGUCGAACGAGCCCUUCGGGUCUAGUGGCGCAAGGGUGCGUAACGCGUGGGAACCUGCCCUUAGGUUCGGAAUAACUACCCGAAAGGGGUGCUAAUACCGGAUAAUGUCUUCGGACCAAAGAUUUAUUGCCUUUGGAUGGGCCCGCGUUGGAUUAGCUAGUUGGUAGGGUAAAAGCCUACCAAGGCGACGAUUCAUAGCUGGUCUGAGAGGAUGAUCAGCCACACUGGGACUGAGACACGGCCCAGACUCCUACGGAAGGCAGCAGUGGGGAAUAUUGGACAAUGGGCGAAAGCCUGAUCCAGCAAUGCCGCGUGAGUGAUGAAGGCCUUAGGGUUGUAAAGCUCUUUUACCCGGGAUGAUAAUGACAGUACCGGGAGAAUAAGCUCCGGCUAACUCCGUG
Molecule: ribosomal RNA, 433 nt
Filed under: uncultured bacterium
Lineage: Bacteria
Description: partial 16S ribosomal RNA
Rfam family: Bacterial small subunit ribosomal RNA
Source: RNAcentral